CACGCACGGCUUUCCUCCGCUGGCCACCACCUGGCUCGAGGCUCCCUCAGGGGCGCCGACCUCCCGGGGAGCGCUGUUCUGGGCUCCCAGUUGCUCCCUCUCCGAGUUGCCGUUGUGUCCGGCGGCCGCCCCUGACCCAGCGCUCCUCUCGGGAGGCAGCUGGGAAACCUGGGGACUUUAUGGAGCGCCGGCUGCGUGCCUCUCUCUGCGUGCCUCUCAGGAUGCAAGCAGUUGAUUUGACCAGAAAGGCAUAGUACCAGCAAAGAAAAAGCUUAGGUUUCACAGCGCGAGACCACCAGGAACAGCCCUUAGACGAGAAAUUGGUGAAGGGGAGGAGUUUAUAGCCAGGGCACUCGAGUACACAGGUGAAGAAACAAAGGCAACAAACACACAGGGAUACAGUGAGGAAGGAAGUUGGCAUGAUUCACAAUAGCCAAGAUAUGGUUACAACCUAAACGUCAACAAUGGAUGCAUGGAUAAGGAAAAUGUGACUUAUACAGCAUGGGUAACAACAUGUGUCAUAUACAAACAAUGGAAUAUUAUUCAGCUUCCCCCGUAGAAGAAAAUCUUCCAUUUGCAACAACAUGGAUGAACCUGGAAAACAGUAUGUUUCAUGAAAUAAGCCAGUCACAGAAGGACAAAUACCACAUUAUUCCAUUUCUAGGCGGUAUCUAAAAUAGUCAAGCUCUUUGAAACAGCGAGUAGGAAGAUAGUUGCCAGGGACUGGGGGCAGGGUGAAACGGGGCACUGCUAUCCUGCAGGUA
Molecule: long non-coding RNA, 764 nt
Organism: Myotis daubentonii (Daubenton's bat)
Lineage: Eukaryota; Metazoa; Chordata; Mammalia; Chiroptera; Vespertilionidae
Source: RefSeq, a predicted model, not a curated record